This 66-nucleotide transfer RNA is filed under the name Achelia bituberculata. RNAcentral describes it as "tRNA-Arg". The record is from RNAcentral. Lineage: Eukaryota; Metazoa; Arthropoda; Pycnogonida; Pantopoda; Ammotheidae.
AAAUAAGAAAUGAUUUAUCAUAGUUAAUUUCGACUUAAUUUUAGAUUAUAAUAUAAUCCUUAUUUU